UUAUAUAUAUAAAAGUAAAACGCCACCGUUACAAACCUUUUAAACCAUGAAGAGUUGAAGACAGAAAACCUAAUUUCUUCAAUCUUCAAACCUAUAUCUGGUGCAAAGAAGAGCAGAGGAAUUUAAGUUCAAGGCAAGCUUGUUACUUGUUUGGCUCUCUUCAGUUCAGUUCUACGAAUCAAGGCCAUUCAUCAUGCUUGCGAAGGCAAACGUUAAAAAGGAGGCAGCCAUUGACAUUUUCUUUUAACCAAACAAACAAAUAAAAUAAAAAACAAAAUGCUUUCCUGAUGUAUUAAAGAAUUAUUGAAGAGUUUUAGCCAUUUUCUGGCCGAAGCAAUAAGGCCUGUAACCAGUCCGGCUGUCAAAAGUGACAGGGAGAUACUCAAAGUCGAAGUCAAAUACUUGAUGUUAGAGGAUUUAGAGCAUGAUAAGCAUUUGUGUUUACUUGUGUAUGAUUCUAAGUCCAGGUAGAUGCAGAGCAAUUGCUAUCUUUCUUUGACAGCCACAGGGAGGAUUUUAAUUUUCCUUCGCCACUGCAGGCACAAAUCUAUGUACAGAAUUACCUUUCAGUUGAAGAGGAUCUGACAGAGUUUGCAGGCUCAUUACUUGUUGAUCCAGAUGAAUAUGGCACUGAAAAUGCUGCACUAUUUCUCCCAAAUGACCAUAGCUCACCAAGGUCAUCAAGGAAAGCUUAUACCGAGGAUAGCAGUGAUAGAACAACUUAUCAUGCAUAUAGAGAGGUAAUAAAUAAUCUCCAACGACCAUUUUUAGCAACGCCUGAUUCUCUCAGUAAUUAUUUAAGAGAAUGCUAAUGGGAGCAUUGGAGAAAUAUGUAACUUACUCAUUAUUUCAAUGCCACUGAAGACAUUCUUUUUAGAGUCGUGGAAGACCUUCAAGUGAAAUGAAAUUCUAUGUUUUACUGA
Molecule: long non-coding RNA, 923 nt
Organism: Populus trichocarpa (black cottonwood)
Lineage: Eukaryota; Viridiplantae; Streptophyta; Magnoliopsida; Malpighiales; Salicaceae
Exons: 2
Source: RefSeq, a predicted model, not a curated record